AGCGAACGCUGGCGGCAGGCUUAACACAUGCAAGUCGAGCGGGCACUUCGGUGUCAGCGGCAGACGGGUGAGUAACACGUGGGAACGUACCCUUCGGUUCGGAAUAACGCUGGGAAACUAGCGCUAAUACCGAAUACGCCCUUUUGGGGAAAGGUUUACUGCCGAAGGAUCGGCCCGCGUCUGAUUAGCUAGUUGGUGGGGUAAUGGCCUACCAAGGCGACGAUCAGUAGCUGGUCUGAGAGGAUGAUCAGCCACACUGGGACUGAGACACGGCCCAGACUCCUACGGGAGGCAGCAGUGGGGAAUAUUGGACAAUGGGCGCAAGCCUGAUCCAGCCAUGCCGCGUGAGUGAUGAAGGCCUUAGGGUUGUAAAGCUCUUUUGUCCGGGACGAUAAUGACGGUACCGGAAGAAUAAGCCCCGGCUAACUUCGUG
Molecule: ribosomal RNA, 433 nt
Filed under: uncultured bacterium
Lineage: Bacteria
Description: partial 16S ribosomal RNA
Rfam family: Bacterial small subunit ribosomal RNA
Source: RNAcentral